UACGUAGGGUGCAAGCGUUAAUCGGAAUUACUGGGCGUAAAGAGUGUGUAGGCGGUGUUCUAAGUCUGUUGUGAAAUCUCCCGGCUUAACUGGGAGGGUGCGGCGAAAACUGGAAUGCUAGAGGAUGGGAGAGGUAAGCGGAAUUCCUGGUGUAGCGGUGAAAUGCGUAGAUAUCAGGAGGAACACCUGUGGUGUAGACAGCUUACUGGACCAUUUCUGACGCUGAGACACGAAAGCGUGGGUAGCAAACAGG
Molecule: ribosomal RNA, 253 nt
Filed under: uncultured bacterium
Lineage: Bacteria
Description: partial 16S ribosomal RNA
Rfam family: Bacterial small subunit ribosomal RNA
Source: RNAcentral